GGCCCCAUAGCACAACUGGAUAGGGCAGCCGCCUCCUAAGCGGUCGAUCUCAGUUCGAGUCUGAGUGGGGUCA
This 73-nucleotide transfer RNA is filed under the name Fructilactobacillus lindneri DSM 20690 = JCM 11027. RNAcentral describes it as "Lactobacillus lindneri DSM 20690 = JCM 11027 tRNA". It matches the Rfam family "tRNA". Rfam says of the family: Transfer RNA (tRNA) molecules are approximately 80 nucleotides in length. Their secondary structure includes four short double-helical elements and three loops (D, anti-codon, and T loops). The record is from Rfam by way of RNAcentral. RNAcentral also lists the same sequence under 1 other name. Lineage: Bacteria; Bacillati; Bacillota; Bacilli; Lactobacillales; Lactobacillaceae.